This 504-nucleotide ribosomal RNA is filed under the name uncultured bacterium. RNAcentral describes it as "bacterial SSU rRNA". It matches the Rfam family "Bacterial small subunit ribosomal RNA", at positions 29 to 524 of the family's 1533-position model. The record is from RNAcentral.
AGUGAACGCUGGCGGCAGGCCUAAUACAUGCAAGUCGAACGGCAGCACAGCAGAGCUUGCUCUGUGGGUGGCGAGUGGCGGACGGGUGAGGAAUACGUGGGAAUCUGCCCAGUCGUGGGGGAUAACGUAGGGAAACUUACGCUAAUACCGCAUGCGCCCUUCGGGGAAAGCCGGGGACCUUCGGGCCUGGCGCGAUUGGAUGAGCCCACGUCGGAUUAGCUAGUUGGCGGGGUAAAGGCCCACCAAGGCGACGAUCCGUAGCUGGUCUGAGAGGAUGAUCAGCCACACUGGAACUGAGACACGGUCCAGACUCCUACGGGAGGCAGCAGUAGGGAAUAUUGGACAAUGGGCGCAAGCCUGAUCCAGCCAUGCCGCGUGAGUGAAGAAGGCCCUCGGGUUGUAAAGCUCUUUGUCCGGAAAGAAAGCGCCGGGUUAAUACCCUGGUGUCCUGACGGUACCGGAAGAAUAAGCACCGGCUAACUUCGUGCCAGCAGCCGCGGUAAU